Non-coding RNA from Maylandia zebra (zebra mbuna), 555 nucleotides. The record is from RefSeq and is a predicted model, not a curated record. NCBI's taxonomy places the organism in Eukaryota, Metazoa, Chordata, Actinopteri, Cichliformes, Cichlidae.
UUGAAAACUGUAAUGCCUUUUUCAGCUAUCCAUUGGACUCAACAUGCCUUGGAAUUUACUUUGUUUCAAAUCUGUCUAAACAAAUGAAUCUUGUAUUACUUGAUGAACUAAAACAGAAAAUGGUGCUUUUGCCACUGAAGUCUGGAUAUGUGGCAUUGCCACUGCUGUACUAGUUGGCUUCUUUUUGCUUUCUCAACAGCAUGCUACCAUUUGCAGUUGUUGAUUUUCUGGAUGGUGGAGGUGUAUCCAUAAUUCCUUGCAAGUGGUUUACAGGACCAGCGGAAGAUUCUUGUUUCUGGCCACCAGGGAGAGUCAAUAUCAAUAAGGCUGUAAAGGAUGGAGUUACUCCAGAUGCAAACUGGUCACAGUACAGAGUUCGCAUCUUGGGGAAAGCUGAAAACUAUGAAAAUGCCAGGGUGAAACUGCGGAGGUCUGAAGCAACCUCUGAUCUGCAGACUGAGUCAGAUUCUGGAAGCAGAUUGGGAAAAGGGAAGCAGAAAAGGAGGCCAGUGAUCCAGUCAAGCUCGGAUGAGGAUUGGGACAACGCUGCGGAAC